GAUGAACGCUAGCGGCAGGCUUAAUACAUGCAAGUCGAGGGGCAGCGGGGGUAGCAAUACCUGCCGGCGACCGGCAAACGGGUGCGGAACACGUACAGAACCUUCCUCCAAGUGGUGAAUAGCCUUCCGAAAGGAAGAUUAAUACACCGUAAUAUUACAGAGUGGCAUCACUUUAUAAUUAUAGAUUUAUCGCUUAGUAGAUGGCUGUGCGGCUGAUUAGGUAGUUGGCGGGGUAAUAGCCCACCAAGCCUGCGAUCAGUAACUGGUGUGAGAGCACGACCAGUCACACGGCACUGAGACACGGGCCCGACUCCUACGGGAGGCAGCAGUAAGGAAUAUUGGACAAAUGGCCGCAAGUCUG
Molecule: ribosomal RNA, 361 nt
Filed under: uncultured bacterium
Lineage: Bacteria
Description: bacterial SSU rRNA
Rfam family: Bacterial small subunit ribosomal RNA
Source: RNAcentral